Molecule: ribosomal RNA, 465 nt
Filed under: uncultured bacterium
Lineage: Bacteria
Description: partial 16S ribosomal RNA
Rfam family: Bacterial small subunit ribosomal RNA
Source: RNAcentral
GAUGAACGCUGGCGGCGUGCUUAACACAUGCAAGUCGAACGGAAAGGCCCUGCUUGCAGGGUACUCGAGUGGCGAACGGGUGAGUAACACGUGGGUGAUCUGCCCUGUACUUUGGGAUAAGCCUGGGAAACUGGGUCUAAUACCGAAUAUGACAAUUGUUUGGAUGCGAUUGUGGAAAGCUUUUGCGGUAUGGGAUGAGCUCGCGGCCUAUCAGCUUGUUGGUGGGGUAAUGGCCUACCAAGGCGUCGACGGGUAGCCGGCCUGAGAGGGUGUACGGCCACAUUGGGACUGAGAUACGGCCCAGACUCCUACGGGAGGCAGCAGGGGGGAAUAUUGCACAAUGGGCGCAAGCCUGAUGCAGCGACGCCGCGUGGGGGAUGACGGCCUUCGGGUUGUAAACUCCUUUCGCAACCGACGAAGCCUUUUGGUGACGGUAGGUUGAGAAGAAGCACCGGCUAACUACGU